Molecule: ribosomal RNA, 904 nt
Filed under: Paenibacillus sp.
Lineage: Bacteria; Bacillati; Bacillota; Bacilli; Caryophanales; Paenibacillaceae
Description: bacterial SSU rRNA
Rfam family: Bacterial small subunit ribosomal RNA
Source: RNAcentral
UGCAGUCGAGCGGACUUGAUGAGAAGCUUGCUUCUCUGAUGCGUUAGCGGCGGACGGGUGAGUAACACGUAGGCAACCUGCCCUCAAGUUUGGGACAACUACCGGAAACGGUAGCUAAUACCGAAUAAUUGUUUUCUUCGCCUGAAGGAAACUGGAAAGACGGAGCAAUCUGUCACUUGGGGAUGGGCCUGCGGCGCAUUAGCUAGUUGGUGAGGUAACGGCUCACCAAGGCGACGAUGCGUAGCCGACCUGAGAGGGUGAUCGGCCACACUGGGACUGAGACACGGCCCAGACUCCUACGGGAGGCAGCAGUAGGGAAUCUUCCGCAAUGGGCGAAAGCCUGACGGAGCAAUGCCGCGUGAGUGAUGAAGGUUUUCGGAUCGUAAAGCUCUGUUGCCAGGGAAGAACGCUUGGGAGAGUAACUGCUCUCAAGGUGACGGUACCUGAGAAGAAAGCCCCGGCUAACUACGUGCCAGCAGCCGCGGUAAUACGUAGGGGGCAAGCGUUGUCCGGAAUUAUUGGGCGUAAAGCGCGCGCAGGCGGUCAUUUAAGUCUGGUGUUUAAUCCCGGGGCUCAACCCCGGAUCGCACUGGAAACUGGGUGACUUGAGUGCAGAAGAGGAGAGUGGAAUUCCACGUGUAGCGGUGAAAUGCGUAGAUAUGUGGAGGAACACCAGUGGCGAAGGCGACUCUCUGGGCUGUAACUGACGCUGAGGCGCGAAAGCGUGGGGAGCAAACAGGAUUAGAUACCCUGGUAGUCCACGCCGUAAACGAUGAGUGCUAGGUGUUAGGGGUUUCGAUACCCUUGGUGCCGAAGUUAACACAUUAAGCACUCCGCCUGGGGAGUACGGGUCGCAAGACUGAAACUCAAAAGGAAUUGACGGGGGACCCGCACAAGCAGUGAA